AGCGAACGCUGGCGGCAGGCCUAACACAUGCAAGUCGAACGAACUCUUCGGAGUUAGUGGCGGACGGGUGAGUAACACGUGGGAACGUGCCCUUUGGUACGGAAUAACUCAGGGAAACUUGAGCUAAUACCGUAUGUGCCCUUCGGGGGAAAGAUUUAUCACCAUUGGAGCGGCCCGCGUCUGAUUAGCUAGUUGGUGAGGUAAAGGCUCACCAAGGCUACGAUCAGUAGCUGGUCUGAGAGGAUGAUCAGCCACAUUGGGACUGAGACACGGCCCAAACUCCUACGGGAGGCAGCAGUGGGGAAUCUUGCGCAAUGGGCGAAAGCCUGACGCAGCCAUGCCGCGUGAAUGAUGAAGGUCUUAGGAUUGUAAAAUUCUUUCACCGGGGACGAUAAUGACGGUACCCGGAGAAGAAGCCCCGGCUAACUUCGUG
This 433-nucleotide ribosomal RNA is filed under the name uncultured bacterium. RNAcentral describes it as "partial 16S ribosomal RNA". It matches the Rfam family "Bacterial small subunit ribosomal RNA", at positions 29 to 507 of the family's 1533-position model. The record is from RNAcentral.